CACUAAGAAGCUAAUAGGACUUAAGCAUCAGCCUUUUAAGCUGAAAACUGGUGACUUCCAACCACCCUUAGUAG
This 74-nucleotide transfer RNA is filed under the name Brachygobius doriae. Its description in RNAcentral is "tRNA-Lys". It matches the Rfam family "tRNA". From Rfam's summary of the family: Transfer RNA (tRNA) molecules are approximately 80 nucleotides in length. Their secondary structure includes four short double-helical elements and three loops (D, anti-codon, and T loops). Lineage: Eukaryota; Metazoa; Chordata; Actinopteri; Gobiiformes; Gobiidae. The record is from RNAcentral.